AUACGGAGGGAGCGAGCGUUAAUCGGAAUUACUGGGCGUAAAGCGCGCGUAGGCGGCUCAGCAAGUCGGUCGUGAAAGCCCGAGGCUCAACCUCGGAACUGCGGUCGAUACUGCUGUGGCUAGAGUCCGGUAGAGGAGAGUGGAAUUCCCGGUGUAGCGGUGGAAUGCGCAGAUAUCGGGAGGAACACCAGCGGCGAAGGCGGCUCUCUGGGCCGGUACUGACGCUGAGGAGCGAAAGCGUGGGGAGCAAACAGGAUUAGAAACCCCAGUAGUCC
This 275-nucleotide ribosomal RNA is filed under the name uncultured bacterium. RNAcentral describes it as "partial 16S ribosomal RNA". It matches the Rfam family "Bacterial small subunit ribosomal RNA", at positions 523 to 796 of the family's 1533-position model. The record is from RNAcentral.